This 202-nucleotide ribosomal RNA is filed under the name Pseudo-nitzschia fraudulenta. Its description in RNAcentral is "partial Bacterial large subunit ribosomal RNA". It matches the Rfam family "Bacterial large subunit ribosomal RNA", at positions 1717 to 1903 of the family's 2925-position model. The record is from RNAcentral. Lineage: Eukaryota; Bacillariophyta; Bacillariophyceae; Bacillariales; Bacillariaceae.
GCAAAAUGGUACCGUAACUUCGGGAGAAGGUACGCCGGUUUUGGUGAUGGGACUUGCUCCCUAAGCUGAGGCUGGCCGAAGUGACCAGGUGGCUGCGACUGUUUAUCAAAAACAUAGCACUCUGCAAACACGAAAGUGGACGUAUAGGGUGUGACGCCUGCCCGGUGCCGGAAGGUUAAUUGAUGGGGUUAGCUAACGCGAA